RNAcentral lists this ribosomal RNA (439 nucleotides) under uncultured bacterium. RNAcentral's name for it is "bacterial SSU rRNA". It matches the Rfam family "Bacterial small subunit ribosomal RNA", at positions 360 to 793 of the family's 1533-position model. The record is from RNAcentral.
AAUAUUGCACAAUGGGCGCAAGCCUGAUGCAGCCAUGCCGCGUGUAUGAAGAAGGCCUUCGGGUUGUAAAGUACUUUCAGCAGUGAGGAAGGUGGAUAUGUUAAUAGCAUAUUCAUUUGACGUUAGCUGCAGAAGAAGCACCGGCUAACUCCGUGCCAGCAGCCGCGGUAAUACGGAGGUGCGAGCGUUAAUCGGAAUUACUGGGCGUAAAGCGCAUGCAGGUGGUUUGUUAAGUCAGAUGUGAAAGCCCGGGGCUCAACCUCGGAAUUGCAUUUGAAACUGGCAAACUAGAGUACUGUAGAGGGGGUAGAAUUUCAGGUGUAGCGGUGAAAUGCGUAGAGAUCUGAAGGAAUACCGGUGGCGAAGGCGGCCCCCUGGACAGAUACUGACACUCAGAUGCGAAAGCGUGGGGAGCAAACAGGAUUAGAUACCCUGGUAG